ACCUCGUUGGCGCAGUAGGCAGCGCGUCAGUCUCAUAAUCUGAAGGUCACGAGUUCGAGCCUCACACGGGGCA
RNAcentral lists this transfer RNA (73 nucleotides) under Danio rerio (zebrafish). It matches the Rfam family "tRNA". From Rfam's summary of the family: Transfer RNA (tRNA) molecules are approximately 80 nucleotides in length. Their secondary structure includes four short double-helical elements and three loops (D, anti-codon, and T loops). Further hydrogen bonds mediate the characteristic L-shaped molecular structure. tRNAs have two regions of fundamental functional importance: the anti-codon, which is responsible for specific mRNA codon recognition, and the 3' end, to which the tRNAs corresponding amino acid is attached (by aminoacyl-tRNA synthetases). tRNAs cope with the degeneracy of the genetic code in two manners: having more than one tRNA (with a specific anti-codon) for a particular amino acid; and 'wobble' base-pairing, i.e. permitting non-standard base-pairing at the 3rd anti-codon position. Lineage: Eukaryota; Metazoa; Chordata; Actinopteri; Cypriniformes; Danionidae. The record is from Rfam by way of RNAcentral.